Molecule: ribosomal RNA, 440 nt
Filed under: uncultured bacterium
Lineage: Bacteria
Description: partial 16S ribosomal RNA
Rfam family: Bacterial small subunit ribosomal RNA
Source: RNAcentral
CUACGGGACGCACCAGUGGGGAAUAUUGCGCAAUGGGGGGAACCCUGACGCAGCAACGCCGCGUGAAGGACGAAGGUUUUCGGAUCGUAAACUUCUUUGAUUGGGGAAGAAUAAAUGACGGUACCCAAAAAACAAGCCACGGCUAACUACGUGCCAGCAGCCGCGGAAUAUGUAGGUGGCAAGCGUUGUCCGGAUUUACUGGGUGUAAAGGGCGUGUAGGCGGGGAGGCAAGUCAGAUGUGAAAUACCACGGCUCAACCGUGGGGGUGCAUCUGAAACUGCUUCUCUUGAGUGCUGGAGAGGAAAGCGGAAUUCCUAGUGUAGCGGUGAAAUGCGUAGAUAUUAGGAGGAACACCAGUGGCGAAGGCGGCUUUCUGGACAGUAACUGACGCUGAGGCGCGAAAGCGUGGGGAGCAAACAGGAUUAGAUACCCCCGUAGUC